UGGCAGCGCUGUGACAAAGAAAGACCUCUUCUAUCUCUUCCGAAGUCACGACACUCACUGAUUUUUGGCUUAUUUUCCACUAAAGUCCUCGUGUAGCGACGAUAUCACAGCGCCGACUGAGGCAGUGGAGUGGUGCCCUUCAGUGAACAUGGGUGUGUCCAGGGGUGAGUGCAGCGGGCGGGGAGGGACAUGAGGUCGUCAGUGAGUGUGAUCCUGUCCACCCCUCCACCCGUCACCACCAUGAGUUAUCCAGACUACACCACCAGCCCCCACCACCACCAGACCCUGCUGGUGCUCGUCAGACAAGUGGGAUCCCAAUUAAAGAGCCGCUCGUUCCAUAAACUGUACGAGCGAAUCAGCAGAGUCGGCCACGUCAAGGUGAACGACUCUAAUGGGUCCCAGCGGCCAGUGUGGGUCACCUACCGCCGGGACUACCCCAUUGAGAACAACGACUGGGGCGACUUCCAGACACACCGCAGAGUCCUGGGUAUCAUCACCAUAGGUCAGGUGGGUAGCCAGAGUGACCUGAAUGAUAUCUGCAAGCAGCAUGAGAGCCUCAAGGUCAAGUAUUCCUCCACGCUGUAUGACUCACGCUGCAUCAUCUUGGGACUCAACCCAGAUGGCACCAUGUAUGAAGCGGCCUCCCAGGGGCCUUCCCGCAGCACCUCUCCAGACCCAAGCGGCACGCCAGACCCCGGAGGCGCCCCACAGACACCCGUCCCGGCCAUCAACGGCCAUGCUCACGUCAAGAAGGUGUCCGCCGGCAGCACGGACCGGGACAGCGGUGUGUACGAAACGGUCGGUGGGGAGGAGAAGCCUACCGACUCAGACAGCCACUCUGAAGGUGCAGCCGACCUGAAGAUUGACACCAAUCAUGUCAAUGGGUCAGACUCCGGCAGUGAGAGCACCAGUGAGGCUGGCUGCUGCGAGGAGAACAAGGCGGACUCCCCGCGAGAUUCUGCUGUGGAAUCCAUGCUGGACACAAGCCACUCCUCCAUCAACUCCUCAGCCUCCCAGGCAUCCAAAGUGUCCCUCCACCCACCCUCUAAUUUCAAGACCCGGGCGCUGUUCUACCCGACUGGAGAGCAUGCGGUGAACAUUGAGAGUCAGCUGCAGGAGUUUGUGAGUUCCCUGUUCUGGGUGUUGGAGUCCAAGCGCCUGGACAAGAGUCAGGAGAAGCUGGAGCGCCCACCGCUGCUCUGUGCUCCCUUUGAACGCAAGGACUUCAUUGGACUGGACAUGGACUCGCGCACCAACAAAAAGCGGUGCGCAGGUCGGCUCAGGAAGCAGCUGGCAGACCUCACCCUCCAGGCAGGCCUGCCCGUGGAGGCCAUUGUUCAGUACAGUCAUGCUGCUGACACACUGCGCCACUGUAAUGACUGGCUCUGGCUCGCAGCGUGCUUUGAGGGGCUGUGUGCAGCGUCGGUAGUGAUGCUGUACCCAAACCUGCGACGCAGUGUGGGGCUGCAGCGCUACUCUAGUCUAGGAGUUGGGGGCCACCAGGGUGGGGCGGGUGGUGUGCUCAGCAGGAGUCGCAAUGGUUCCAUCAACACCAACUCUCUGCCCACCGGUCUGGAGCCCACCAUCAUCAAGCAGACCAGCAAGCACUGCCUCUCCCCGGAUGACAUUGUGGAGAAGUACCGAGAGGCCAUUGUCCACUAUAGCAAGUACCGCAAUGCUGGUGUGGUGGAGACCGAGGCCAGCAUCAAAGCAGUCCAUGUCCUCAUUGAGCAGAGGAGAUACCUCAUGGCAGCAGAGUUCCUCUCCAAUGUGGUGUUCAUCAACCUCCAGCUCUCUGAUGAGGAGAAGAUUGCCCGCUUCAGUGCCCUGGCAGACCUGUACCAUCAAGUGGGAUUCCAGCGCAAAGCUUCCUUCUUCCGGCGUGUGGCAGCCAUGCGGUGUGUGGCGCCCCAGAACCAGCAGCCUGACUGGGGUCAGUGUUACCGCCUGCUGCUGCAGACCCUUGAUGGCCACAAGGUCUGUCUGGACCCUCUGGAGUUCAGGAAAGAUGGAAGCCAAGGAUGGCCAUCCCUGCAGAUUCAGAUCCUACAGGAGCUGGUGGGCACAUCACGAAGGAUGGGCCAGAAUGCCCUCUGCACACGUCACCAGGCCUUCCUAAUGAGUGCCAUGCUGCCGCACCUCAAGGAUGCAGAGCGCCAGGAGACGGCUCUCAUGCUGGAAUCCCUGAGUGCCCGCAGUGGCAGCGGUCCGGCCCCACUUGUGGUGCAGGAGACUGGCAUCAUCAUUCCUCCUGUUAACUUCCUCAACAUCCCCACAUGCAGGCGGGUGCGCAUCAUCUCUCCAGCAGGAGGCCGGAAAGCUGAGAAAAAGUCAUCACUGAUACCUGAAGAUGACAAUGGACCCUUCAUCUUCUCACCCUUCUCGUCCCUCUCCAAUAACAAUGAGAGGAAAUCUCAGGGAAAAGUCGAUUUUGACUGGGUGGAAGGUGAUGUCUGUGAAGUUUGUCUAGAGCUGGAGAACCCUAUGCCUUUUGAACUCAAAAUCACAACCAUGAUGCUCAUCACAGAAGAGGUUCAGUUUGAGUCCUGGACCUCCACCAUUGUGCUGAAGAAUGAGCGUGGGCUGCAGUCCAUCACCCUGAGAGGGAGGCCACAGGGGUCUGGGCAGCUGCAGAUCACUGGCUACUCCUCCACAGUGAUGGGGGUCACCAGUAACUGCCGCUUCAAGUUCCUGCCUCACCUGCGGACGCCACAGUACACCAUCAAUGUGGUGCCUGCCCUACCCAUGAUACAGAUCCUGUCCGGCAACAGCAGCACAGGCAGUCUUGGUGUGGAGCAAGCUGUGGGUGAGGAGUGUGGCAGCCUCCACCUGUCCCUGUCUGCCGGGGAGACUCACGAAUGCUCGGUGGUGCUCCACAACGUCUCCUCUCAACCUGUGGAGGAACUCACCAUCAGCCUGGAGUCAAAGAUGGACAAGGACACGCUGCACCAGGUGUUUCAGUACAGCCGAGAGAACCUCCAGGCCCAGCUGCCCAUCCCCCCUGGUGGCCGUGCCUCCCUUACCCUCUACGUGUAUGCUGCCUGUGACUUCCUUGCGCCAGGCAGGCUUGACGAGUCCUUGGAAACGACCAGCCUGCUCUCAGGCAGUGAACCACCAUCCCUGGUGUCUGGCGGGCCUCCCUCCCUUCCCUCAAGACAGUCGGUGGCCACCUCCAGCACCCGUGCCGCUCCUCGUGCCCGCCGCGCUGACUCCUCCGCCUCGCUGCUGUCCUCUCGCUCUGGCUCCAGCAUGAGGUCUGGCUCCUCCUCCUCCACCCAGGCAGCCACCUCCAGCAUGAGGACCCGCACCACGGCACCCACCCCAGGCUGCAGCAACAGGACUCUGGAGGCCAACCUGCUGGUGAAGUACUCGGGGGGGGCUGGGAUGAGUGCCGAGUACUGCCGCAGCACACAGGUGGCAGUGAGUGUGGAGGUGACACCAUCCCUGCAGGUGACGCGCUGGGAUGUGCUGCCGGCAGAACUGCCCCACCAGUGCUACGUGGUGCUGGACCUGCUCAACUGUGCCACCCAUGAGAUGGACCUCCAUUACACUCCCACCAAACACAUUCUCAUUGAGGCGGGGGAUUCCUGCCGAGUGCCUGUGCCUGUCGACCGCUGCCCCCUGGCCACCCUCACUGAGGAUGGUCGAGAGAGUGAGAGUGGAUGGGGUUGGUCCGAGGUGCUGGGUGGCCAUGUAGCCUCCUUAGUAGAGCUGCGCUGGACUCUCGGCCCCAAUGACACCCCUGGACGUGCCUCCCUGACUGGCAUAACCUUCCCUCCCUCCACUCAUGACCUCAUCACCAUGGCUCCCAUACACUGGGAGGUGCAGGUUGAUGGGCAAGAGGUUGUAGGUGGGACAGAGAAUAGUGGUGUGGUGGGUCGGCCGCUGCAGCUUGGCGUGGGCAUCACCAACACCAGUGGGGCGCCUCUACCACCCCUCAGCCUGCGCAUCACAGCCUUCCAGGACCACCAGAAUGGCCACCUCAACUACCGCCUGGAUGCCAAGAUGACCACCAUUGGGGCCACCAAGCUCACCACCCCACAGCUGAAAGAAGGCGAGGAGUUCCGGCAUUGCUGUGGACUGGUGUUCUUCACGGCAGGUGUGUUCAAGGUUGAGGUGACUUGUUCCCCGGCAGCAGUGGCAGCGCAGACCUCCUUCUAUGAGAACAUCACACCAGCCCACCAACAUGCCUGGAAGUUUGCCCCACCCCUGGAGAUCACAGUGACUGAUGCCUGAAGUGGAGGAGGUUCCUGUCCACAUACUGACCUGAAGGAGGUGAAGAGGCAUGCUGGAAGUGCUGACUUUAACCAUUGGCAGUGGAGGGCAGACCUGUCCGUGUGUGAGGGUUGUGUUUGUUCUGCCCCGAGUACCUGGCUGCUGCAUCAGGCCAACAAUUGGAGCACAGUGAGUGAAGUGAGUGAAGCACCUCCGUGAGUGAAGGUUGCAGGUAACAAAGCUCAGAAACUUUGCCUUGAUUCAUGUCAUUCUCAAAAAGGGGUGUGAAAUUCUAUGACAAAAUACUGUAUAUGAAUUGCAUUAAUACAACCAAAGUACCAUAGAGUGAUAUGUAUAUUAAGCACAGUUUAUAUAGUUAUUCUAAGGUGCCCUCAUCAUGUACUGAUUGAUAUGUACAACAGCACAAUAUUUGUGCAUUUUGAAUUUUGUGAUAUGUAUAUUUGAGUGUAUGAUAAUGUAAAAAUUGAAUGUAUACUACUCCUGCUAGUUGCUGUUUAGUUGUUGUUGGCUUCAUUUUGCAAUACUACUUUUUUAAAGGGACAAAUUCUUCUGUAUUCCUAAAAACAGUUUAAUGGUUGAGACAUGAGUGUGCUCUUCUACCUUUUUUCCUCCUCCUCUACAGGAACACCUAAAUACUCAAACCAUUGUUUUAAUCUCAGCAAGGGGUCCUGCACCACUACCUCUGUAACACUCAGCUCUUGAUGGAAAGCUGACCUAUGAAGUGUCUGUCUUUGCAGUUUACCUGAGAAGUGUCUGUUUCUUACCAAUACAGACUCUGUGCCUAUGAUGAACAAAAAAAGCAGAUCCUUUAUAGUAUCAAAAGUUACAACAAAGCCAUGAGUCAUGACUGCCUUGCUCUUCCCUACCAAAGCAGCGGGCGUGUACUUGAUGCUCACCUCACCAGCCCAGCCCAGCCCAGACCUGAGGGUGCUAUGGGAUGUGCUGUAGUAGUCUGUUAGCUCCCAUGGGGCAACACAGCCACUGCUCCCUUCACCACACUGGCUGACAUACAAGGAACUCUGGGUGCUGGAAUAUUGCUGUUUGUCUGUCAACUCAUUACUUUGGUUGUAAGAGACAUCUGUUUGUUCCUUUGGACACACCAAGUCUUCUGCUUUGAGACAUUAUGACAAACUUAUCAUUUAGGUGAUGUUAAUAAAAAUUAAGUUACA
This 5405-nucleotide unclassified non-coding RNA is filed under the name Portunus trituberculatus (swimming crab). RNAcentral describes it as "protein brunelleschi-like, transcript variant X2". Lineage: Eukaryota; Metazoa; Arthropoda; Malacostraca; Decapoda; Portunidae. The record is from RNAcentral.